Molecule: transfer-messenger RNA, 409 nt
Filed under: Holosporales bacterium
Lineage: Bacteria; Pseudomonadati; Pseudomonadota; Alphaproteobacteria; Holosporales
Rfam family: Alphaproteobacteria transfer-messenger RNA
About the family: Bacterial tmRNA, also known as 10Sa RNA or SsrA, is named for its dual tRNA and mRNA-like properties. Its role is to liberate the mRNA from a stalled ribosome.
Source: RNAcentral
UGAUUGGAUUACGCAUGCAUCGUGCGCUAUAAUGAAUCUGUCAGGGAUACCUGACUAUGACGAUAAAUAUUGGUUAGAAUAGGUGACUUGGACCCGGGGGCAGUACCCGGCGCCUCCACUUCGGACUUGCCUCAGGGCAACAUACGGGGGCGACACAGCUUCGACAAGCGCAAUAAAGGGUCAGUGUUCGUUCGUGAUUGUACCGUCGUUAUCGGGCAAAAAAAGUAUAGAUGCCAAUGUUUCAAGCAUCUCGGGUGUCGCUGCAAACUCUAACCGCUCUAGUAAGCGGAGCAAGAUUGCAAACAGCAAUGGCCAAGGCCUUGCGAUAGCUGCCUAAUUAGCCUAACGGCGAAUUAGUAGGCUUUACACUCGCGGUUUGAGGGCGACCGGGCAACAGAACGCCCUCACU